GCGCACGUGAUCUAGCGGUUAUGAUACGAGGUUCCCAACCUCGUUACCCGGGUUCAAGUCCCGGCGUGCGCACCA
This 75-nucleotide transfer RNA is filed under the name Euryarchaeota archaeon TMED192. RNAcentral's name for it is "tRNA-Gly". It matches the Rfam family "tRNA". From Rfam's summary of the family: Transfer RNA (tRNA) molecules are approximately 80 nucleotides in length. Their secondary structure includes four short double-helical elements and three loops (D, anti-codon, and T loops). RNAcentral also lists the same sequence under 4 other names. The record is from RNAcentral. Lineage: Archaea; Methanobacteriati; Methanobacteriota.